RNAcentral lists this small RNA (514 nucleotides) under Histoplasma capsulatum. RNAcentral's name for it is "hypothetical RNA". Lineage: Eukaryota; Fungi; Ascomycota; Eurotiomycetes; Onygenales; Ajellomycetaceae. The record is from RNAcentral. RNAcentral also lists the same sequence under 1 other name.
CCAGAGGUCAUACCAUAUGAGAUGUGGGUUGUAAAUCUAAGAUUGCUUUGACAUAUCCAAUUCUUUGAUAAGGAUUUAAGGAGUAGUCCAUGUCUUUGGGGGACGAAGGAUAUCUCCCCUACCAUUAUAUGAGCUGUGAGAGUGGUGGUUCUCUUCCGGGGAUCAAGUUUGCAGCCAACUCUGAGCCCAAAAUUACGUCCCAUAUGGCUGCAGUGGAGAUGAUACAACGAUGCAAGCAAUAAAAAAAAAAUGGGUGCGGAAAGAGUCUGUGGAGAAAAGUGAAGUAAUUCUUGACGAUACCUUGGAAAGCACGACGUAAUUGUUUUUUAGAUUAUAAAGAUGCUGUUUGAUCUGCUUGCCAUCCAACCUCAGCAACAUUGGAGAAGUAUAUUUGGGCUCCUCUAAAGAGAACAGCAGUGAUAGUUGACUUCCUAGCGUGUUUUUGUCUAAUCCAUAAAUGUAUAGCUAGUCGCAGGUAACGAAGGGUAAUAGGAUAACAUCAAAACAACUGACA